This 108-nucleotide ribosomal RNA is filed under the name Oryctolagus cuniculus (rabbit). The record is from RNAcentral. Lineage: Eukaryota; Metazoa; Chordata; Mammalia; Lagomorpha; Leporidae.
GUCUACGGCCAUACCACCCUGAACGCGCCCGAUCUCGUCUGAUCUCGGAAGCUAAGCAGGGUCGGGCCUGGUUAGUACUUGGAUGGGAGAGUACAUAUCCCAUAAUUU